CAGCAAACUAGGAAUCGAAGAGAACUUCCUCAACAUGAUAAAGAACAUCUACAAAAUAUCCGGAACUAACAUUAUACUUCAUGGUGAAAAACUAGAUGCUUUCCUUCUAAAAUCAGGAACAAGGUAAUGAAGUUCAUUUUUACCACUUCUAUUCAACAGCACACUGGAAGUUUUAGCCACUGCAAUAAGAUGAGAAGAUUAAAUAAAAGGCAUAUGGAUUGGGAAGAAUGAAAUAAAACUAUCACUGUUCACAGGUGACAUGAUUGUGCAGAAAAUCCUAAAGGAUCAACAAUGAUAGCAAUGGAGCCUGUAACUAAUAAGCAAUUUCAUCAAGAUUCUAGAAUACAUAAUUAACAUGCAAAAAUCAAUCUGUUUUCCUCUAUCCUGGCAAUGAACAGUGGGAAUUUGAAAUUAAAAUACAAUACCAUUAGCAUAAAAGGAGCAAGAGGAUGAGGAGAGAUGAUAAAGUAUUGUCAGUGAUUUGAAUUUUAGACAUUCUGAUUGAUGUAAAGGAGUAUCUUGUGGUUUUUAUUUUAAAUUUCCCUGUGAUAUGUGAUAGUGAUCAUCUUUUCAUAUGUUUAUUUGCCAUUUUUUGGUGAGAUAUCUUUUCAGAUUUUUCUGCCCAAUGUAACAAAUGUACUACAUUAAAACAAUAUAUUAAUAAUAAGAGAUAUUGUGGUGGGAAGAUGGUAAAUGGGAGCUCUGUAAUUUCUGAUAAGGUUGUCUGAAAACUUAAAUAAGAACUAUUAAUUAGGGGCUGAGGUUGUGGCUCAGUGGUAGAGCACUUGUCUUGCAUGUGUGAGGCCCUGGGGUCAAUCCUCAGCACCAUGUUAAACAAAACAAAACAAUCAAAUAAAUAAAUGUAUUUUUUUUUAAAAAAGAACUGUUAAUUUAAAAAAGGCACAUCUAAACCCUAACAUAGCAAUUAUUGCAUUAAAUGUAAAUGGUUUAAAUAUACACAUUAAAAGUUAGGGACUGGAAUAUGGAUUAAAAAAGGUGAUCCAAGUGUAUGUUCUCUAUAGAAACUCACUUCAAAUUUAACAAAAUGGCCAGGUUAAAAGUAAUAAUAUGUAAAAAGAUAUGUAAAGACUAAUCAAUGGAAAGAAGGAAUGGUUAUAAUAUCGUUAGAUAAAAUGAACUUUAGAACAAUGAAAAGUACCAGGGGCAGAGAGUGAUAUCAUAUAACUAUAAAAAAUAUUUCACUAAGAAGUCAUAAUCAUCCUAAUAUGUAUAUACCAAACAGCAGAGCUGUGAAGUAGGAGAAGCAAGACUGAUAAGACCAAAAGGACAAAUAGACAAAUCCAUAAUCACAAUUAGAAAGUUCAAAUCUUCUGUUAACAAUUAAUAGAGUAAUAAUGAAAAAUCAGUUAAAAAAUUAGAAGCAUUCAACAGCCUCAUUAACCAAGAGGACCUAAUUGAUAUUUAUGGAAAAUUCCCUAUGACAACAGGGAAAUACAUAUUCUUUUCAAAUAUCCAUUAGUACAUAUACAAAAGUAGACUCUUGGCUGGAAAACAAAUCUCAACAACCUUAAAGGAACUGAGAUGAUAGAGUAUGUUCUUCAAUCACAGUGAAACCAAGCCAGAAAUUAGUAAUAAAAUAAUAGGAAAAAAUUCAAACUCUUGAAAACCAAAGACACUUCCAAACAAUCCACAGGUAAAAGAGGAGCUCUUAAGGAAAAAAAAAAAUUAAAUACAUUGAAUUGAAUGAAAAUGAAAAUACAAUUCAUAAUUUUGUGGGAUAUGGAUAAAGUAGCACUGAGAGGAAGAUUCAUAGCAUUGAGUCAAAUAUUAGAAAAGACAACAUGUUUCAAAUUAAUCAUCUAAACAUCCAUCUUAAGAAUCUACAAAAAGAAACGUAAAAUAAACCUGAAGCAAUUAGAAGGAGGGAAAUGAAACAGAUCAAGCAGAAAUAAAUAAAAUUGAAAACAGAUCAAUAACACAAAACUGGUUCUUUGCAAAGAUCAAUAAAAAUUACAGACCUGUGUCAAAACUAACAAAGGAAAACAAAAGAAACAGAGAUAAUGCAGAAACCACCAAUAAGAGAAAUGAAGCAGAGUGUAUCACUACAGCUCCUGCACAUAUUAAAAGGAUAAGAGAAUACCACAAACAACUCUAUUCCAAUUAAUUUUAACCUUAGGUGAAAUGGGCCUAUUCUUCAAAAAACACAAACUACCGCAACUUAUCCAUUACGAAAAAAGAUAAUUUGAGCUGGGCACAGUGGUGCUCCCUGUAAUCCCAGCAGCUCCAGAGGCUUAGGCAGGAGGAUUGCUAGUUCAAAGCCAGCCUCAGUAAAAGUGAGGCACUAAGCAAUUCAGU
Molecule: long non-coding RNA, 2316 nt
Filed under: Marmota monax (woodchuck)
Lineage: Eukaryota; Metazoa; Chordata; Mammalia; Rodentia; Sciuridae
Source: RNAcentral